RNAcentral lists this ribosomal RNA (181 nucleotides) under uncultured Staphylococcus sp. RNAcentral describes it as "partial 16S ribosomal RNA". It matches the Rfam family "Bacterial small subunit ribosomal RNA", at positions 159 to 334 of the family's 1533-position model. The record is from RNAcentral. Lineage: Bacteria; Bacillati; Bacillota; Bacilli; Caryophanales; Staphylococcaceae.
GGAGCUAAUACCGGAUAAUAUUUUGAACCGCAUGGUUCAAAAGUGAAAGACGGUCUUGCUGUCACUUAUAGAUGGAUCCGCGCUGCAUUAGCUAGUUGGUAAGGUAACGGCUUACCAAGGCAACGAUGCAUAGCCGACCUGAGAGGGUGAUCGGCCACACUGGAACUGAGACACGGUCCAG